Molecule: long non-coding RNA, 428 nt
Filed under: Vigna radiata
Lineage: Eukaryota; Viridiplantae; Streptophyta; Magnoliopsida; Fabales; Fabaceae
Description: long non-coding RNA (VRAD_LNC009487)
Source: RNAcentral
UGAAUAUGGAUCAGUAGAUGGUGUGACAAUCUUAGAAGGCAGUAUACAAUAUGAGGAAGGUAUAAAAGUAGGGUCACGGGAGGAGUGGUGUAAUAAGAACAGGGGGGAGUGGGGGUUUUAAUCACAGGAGGAGGAAGAGAGUCUGUUGUAGGGGAAAAAGGAGGGUGUGUUACAGGGGUAGGAGUAAGGUGUAUUGUAGGGGUAGGAGGAGGGUGUAUUGCAGGGGUAGGAGGAGGCCCUAUGGAUGAUGGACUGGGGGCAGCAAUGGUAGGUAGUGUAGCAGGCACCCUGAUGGGUGUCGCCGCCCAAUCAAAUUUGAUUGCAAUUGAGAAUAUGCAGUAUAGUGCUAGGAAGUGACUCCUAGGUCGUCUCUCAAGGACCAAAUGUGGUUCGAGUCUUAGGUCUAACACGAAGUGGGGGGGAGGGGG